GCAACCCCAGGUCAGGCUGGGCC
This 23-nucleotide ribosomal RNA is filed under the name Calamus hollrungii. RNAcentral's name for it is "partial 26S ribosomal RNA". Lineage: Eukaryota; Viridiplantae; Streptophyta; Magnoliopsida; Arecales; Arecaceae. The record is from RNAcentral.